Molecule: ribosomal RNA, 489 nt
Filed under: uncultured bacterium
Lineage: Bacteria
Description: bacterial SSU rRNA
Rfam family: Bacterial small subunit ribosomal RNA
Source: RNAcentral
ACUCCUACGGGAGGCAGCAGUGGGGAAUAUUGCACAAUGGGCGCAAGCCUGAUGUGCAGCCAUGCCGCGUGAUAAGUCGAAGAAUGGGCCUUUCGGGUUUGAUGAAAUGUACUUUUCAGCAGUGAGGAAGGUGGGUAUGUUAAUAGCAUAUUCAUUUGACGUUAGCUGCAGAAGAAGCACCGGCUAACUCCGUGCCAGCAGCCGCGGUAAUACGGAGGGUGCGAGCGUUAAUCGGAAUUACUGGGCGUAAAGCGCAUGCAGGUGGUUUGUUAAGUCAGAUGUGAAAGCCCGGGGCUCAACCUCGGAAUUGCAUUUGAAACUGGCAAACUAGAGUACUGUAGAGGGGGGUGAGAAUUUCAGGUGUAGCGGUGAAAUGCGUAGAGAUCUGAAGGAAUACCGGUGGCGAAGGCGGCCCCCUGGACAGAUACUGACACUCAGAUGCGAAAGCGUGGGGAGCAAACAGGAUUAGAUACCCUGGUAGGAUAGCGU